RNAcentral lists this ribosomal RNA (483 nucleotides) under uncultured bacterium. Its description in RNAcentral is "bacterial SSU rRNA". It matches the Rfam family "Bacterial small subunit ribosomal RNA", at positions 28 to 507 of the family's 1533-position model. The record is from RNAcentral.
GACGAACGCUGGCGGCGUGCCUAACACAUGCAAGUCGAACGGAACUUCUUUAAAGGAUUUCUUCGGAAUGAAUUUGAUUAAGUUUAGUGGCGGACGGGUGAGUAACGCGUGAGUAACCUGCCUCUAAGAGGGGAAUAACAUUCUGAAAAGAAUGCUAAUACCGCAUAAUAUAUAUUUAUCGCAUGGUAGAUAUAUCAAAGAUUUAUCGCUUAGAGAUGGACUCGCGUCCGAUUAGUUAGUUGGUGAGGUAACGGCGUCACCAAGACCGCGAUCGGUAGCCGGACUGAGAGGUUGAACGGCCACAUUGGGACUGAGACACGGCCCAGACUCCUACGGGAGGCAGCAGUGGGGGAUAUUGCGCAAUGGGGGAAACCCUGACGCAGCAACGCCGCGUGAAGGAUGAAGGUCUUCGGAUUGUAAACUUCUUUAUUAAGGACGAAGAAAGUGACGGUACUUAAUGAAUAAGCUCCGGCUAACUACGUG